RNAcentral lists this transfer RNA (60 nucleotides) under Anaticola crassicornis (slender duck louse). Its description in RNAcentral is "tRNA-Lys". Lineage: Eukaryota; Metazoa; Arthropoda; Insecta; Psocodea; Philopteridae. The record is from RNAcentral.
UACUGAAAAGCUUUAAGAAGCAUUGAAUUUUUAAUUCAAUGAUGGUUAAUCCUUCAGUAA